AAUCAACGCUGGCGGCGUGCCUAACACAUGCAAGUCGAACGCGAAAGCCCCUUCGGGGGUAAGUAGAGUGGCGUCCGGGUGAGUAACACGUAGGUAAUCUACCUUCGGGUGGGGAAUAACUCGCCGAAAGGCGAGCUAAUACCGCAUAAUGCAGCGGCACCUAAUGGUGAUUAGUUGUUAAAGCGGGGAUCGUAAGACCUCGCGCCUGAAGAGGAGCCUGCGGCAGAUUAGCUAGUUGGGAGGUAAUGGCUCACCAAGGCUUCGAUCUGUAGCUGGUCUGAGAGGACGGCCAGCCACACUGGCACUGACAC
This 311-nucleotide ribosomal RNA is filed under the name uncultured bacterium. Its description in RNAcentral is "bacterial SSU rRNA". It matches the Rfam family "Bacterial small subunit ribosomal RNA", at positions 32 to 325 of the family's 1533-position model. The record is from RNAcentral.